Non-coding RNA from Xylariaceae sp. AK1471, 93 nucleotides. The record is from the annotation of a GenBank genome assembly. Lineage: Eukaryota; Fungi; Ascomycota; Sordariomycetes; Xylariales; Xylariaceae.
CCCCGACUGGUCUAGUUGGUAUGAUGUCAGGCUGUCAAUGCUCUUGUAUAGCAAGAUACUUGAAGGUCAGGGGUUCGAUCCCCCUGUCGGGGA